This 450-nucleotide ribosomal RNA is filed under the name Filifactor alocis. RNAcentral describes it as "bacterial SSU rRNA". It matches the Rfam family "Bacterial small subunit ribosomal RNA", at positions 9 to 440 of the family's 1533-position model. The record is from RNAcentral. Lineage: Bacteria; Bacillati; Bacillota; Clostridia; Peptostreptococcales; Filifactoraceae.
GAGUUUGAUUCUGGCUCAGGAUGAACGCUGGCGGCGUGCUUAACACAUGCAAGUCGAACGAACGACUAUUAACAGAACCUUUCGGGGCGAAGAUGAUAGAAGUUAGUGGCGGACGGGUGCGUAACGCGUGGGUAAUCUGCCUUUGUCAAAGGAAUAACUAUUCGAAAGAAUAGCUAAAACCGUAUAAAAUAUUAAUAGGGCAUCCUAAUAAUAUCAAAACGAUAGUGGACAAAGAUGAGCCCGCGUCUGAUUAGCUAGUUGGUGAGAUAAAAGCCCACCAAGGCAACGAUCAGUAGCCGACCUGAGAGGGUGAACGGCCACAUUGGAACUGAGACACGGUCCAAACUCCUACGGGAGGCAGCAGUGGGGAAUAUUGCACAAUGGGGGGAACCCUGAUGCAGCAACGCCGCGUGAGUGAAGAAGGCAUUCGUGUCGUAAAACUCUGUAGUA